Molecule: ribosomal RNA, 253 nt
Filed under: uncultured bacterium
Lineage: Bacteria
Description: partial 16S ribosomal RNA
Rfam family: Bacterial small subunit ribosomal RNA
Source: RNAcentral
UACGAAGGGGGCUAGCGUUGUUCGGAAUCACUGGGCGUAAAGCGCGCGUAGGCGGAUAUGUAAGUCAGGGGUGAAAUCCCGGGGCCCAACCUCGGAAUUGCCUUUGAAACUACAUAUCUAGAGACUCGGAGGGGAUAGCGGAAUUCCUAAUGUAGGGGUGAAAUCCGUAGAGAUUAGGAGGAACACCGGUGGCGAAGGCGGCUAUCUGGACGAGUACUGACGCUGAGGUGCGAAAGCGUGGGGAGCAAACAGG